GACGAACGCUGGCGGCGUGCUUAACACAUGCAAGUCGAACGGAAAGGCCCUGCUUUUGUGGGGUGCUCGAGUGGCGAACGGGUGAGUAACACGUGAGUAACCUGCCCUUGACUUUGGGAUAACUUCAGGAAACUGGGGCUAAUACCGGAUAGGAGCUCCUGCUGCAUGGGGGGGGUUGGAAAGUUUCGGCGGUUGGGGAUGGACGCGCGGCUUAUCAGCUUGUUGGUGGGGUAGCGGCUUACCAAGGCUUGGACGGGUAGCCGGCCUGGGAGGGUGCCCGGCCACAUUGGGACUGAGAUACGGCCCAGACUCCUACGGGAGGCAGCAGUGGGGAAUAUUGCACAAUGGGCGGAAGCCUAAUGCAGCAACGCCGCGUGCGGGAUGACGGCCUUCGGGUUGUAAACCGCUUUCGCCUGUGACGAAGCGUGAGUGACGGUAAUGGGUAAAGAAGCACCGGCUAACUACGUG
This 468-nucleotide ribosomal RNA is filed under the name uncultured bacterium. RNAcentral's name for it is "partial 16S ribosomal RNA". It matches the Rfam family "Bacterial small subunit ribosomal RNA", at positions 28 to 507 of the family's 1533-position model. The record is from RNAcentral.